GACGAACGCUGGCGGCGUGCCUAAUACAUGCAAGUAGAACGCUGAAGGAGGAGCUUGCUCUUCUGGAUGAGUUGCGAACGGGUGAGUAACGCGUAGGUAACCUGCCUGGUAGCGGGGGAUAACUAUUGGAAACGAUAGCUAAUACCGCAUAAUAGUAGAUGUUGCAUGAUAUUUACUUAAAAGGUGCAAUUGCACCACUACCAGAUGGACCUGCGUUGUAUUAGCUAGUUGGUGGGGUAACGGCUCACCAAGGCGACGAUACAUAGCCGACCUGAGAGGGGGAUCGGCCACACUGGGAAUGAGACCCGGCCCAGACUCCUACGGGAGGCAGCAGUAGGGAAUCUUCGGCAAUGGACGAAAGUCUGACCGAGCAACGCCGCGGGAGUGAAGAAGGUUUUCGGAUCGUAAAGCUCUGUUGUAAGAGAAGAACGAGUGUGAGAGUGGAAAGUUCACACUGUGACGGUAUCUUACCAGAAAGGGACGGCUAACUACGUG
Molecule: ribosomal RNA, 495 nt
Filed under: uncultured bacterium
Lineage: Bacteria
Description: partial 16S ribosomal RNA
Rfam family: Bacterial small subunit ribosomal RNA
Source: RNAcentral